GAUCUGGUGGACUAGUGGCUAGAGCAUCCACCUCAGAUGUGGGAAGGUCAUGGGUUCGAACCCCGGUUGAGUCA
Non-coding RNA from Potamilus streckersoni, 74 nucleotides. Lineage: Eukaryota; Metazoa; Mollusca; Bivalvia; Unionida; Unionidae. The record is from the annotation of a GenBank genome assembly.